GCGAGAGUGAUCGUUCGAGUUCGAGCAAACUCGGGAUUCUUCGGGAAUUCUCAGACAGGGGGCCGAAAAGGGGCCUAUUUCAUUUUGAUCCGUAUAACAGAAAUCGGCAAAAUUGUGAUAGUGCUAUCGUGAGUUUGCGGAUUUUGGAUUGUGGUGAGAUUGUGCGAAAUAUUGGACUUUGACGACUUGGCUUUCCUCUGGACGUGAUUUCGACUUGAAUAACAAUUUACGACUUCGGUUCUCCCACGGACUUGGACUGAAAACAAAGUGAAAAGAAAAAACGGCUAAGAGAGGAGACAGUCGACCACGAGGAGGUAAUCGCCGUGGAAGAAAGGGCAAGGUGCACCGGAAGUUUUACCAAUUCUCGAGCCUCGACCAUAUUCCAUAUACCAUAUUCCCAAGGAAGAAGGAACGUCAACGGAAGCACAGCAUAGCUCGGCAGAAUGAAAGGAAGCUUUCGUCGCUCCAGCAUCCAGCUCUCACGACUGAGAAUAUUAUAUGCGAAAGGCUCGAAAUCUAAGUUAAGAGCCAAGUCCAUAGAAUGACAAUGGCGGCACUCAAGAAUCGUGCCCUUUUUCAGAAGAAAAGCGAAAGGAUCGAAUGGUAGAAGAAGUUUAAAUCGACUGGAGCGUGUGACCCUUGUUCUCAGG
Molecule: long non-coding RNA, 650 nt
Organism: Cephus cinctus (wheat stem sawfly)
Lineage: Eukaryota; Metazoa; Arthropoda; Insecta; Hymenoptera; Cephidae
Exons: 3
Source: RefSeq, a predicted model, not a curated record